RNAcentral lists this ribosomal RNA (423 nucleotides) under uncultured archaeon. Its description in RNAcentral is "partial 16S ribosomal RNA". It matches the Rfam family "Archaeal small subunit ribosomal RNA", at positions 323 to 746 of the family's 1478-position model. The record is from RNAcentral.
CUACGGGUGGCUGCAGUCGCGAAUCAUUUACAAUGCACGCAAGUGUGAUAAUGCGAACCAAAGUGAAUUCCAUUUAGGAAUUCUUUUCUCCACUGCAAAAAGGUGGAGGAAUAAGGACUGGGCAAGACUGGUGCCAGCCGCCGCGGUAAUACCAGCAGUCCAAGUAGCAUCCAACUUUAUUGGGUCUAAAACAUCCGUAGCUUGCUAAUCAAGUUCCUUGUGAAAUUCGGCGUCUCAAGCGUCGAGCGCGCAAGGAAUACUGGUUGGCUAGAGAUCGGUAGACGUAAGGAGUACGCCGGAGGUAGUAGUAAAAUACGUUAAUCUUCGGUGGACUAACAAUGAGCGAAGGCACCUUACGAGGACGAAUCUGACAGUGAGGGAUGAAGGCCAGGGGCGCAAAACGGAUUAGAUACCCCUGUAGUC